Molecule: small RNA, 76 nt
Filed under: Xanthomonas arboricola
Lineage: Bacteria; Pseudomonadati; Pseudomonadota; Gammaproteobacteria; Lysobacterales; Lysobacteraceae
Also listed under: 3 other names
Description: sX9
Rfam family: Xanthomonas sRNA sX9
Source: RNAcentral
GUGGACCACGCGUGCACUGCGGUGCUGAGCGCGCCAUCCGCACCAUUUGACGGCCGCUCGCUACACGUUGGGAGUC